GGGACCAAGGCAAUGUCUCCGAAAAUGUUCUCUACAAGGCUUCCAUUAAGGUCGUUGACGUUCUCACCGCCAUGGCCGUCCCCCGGAAGACAUUCUGGAAACCCUAGGAGACUUCACGAGCAAAGAGAACUAGGACAAGUUCUUCACCCUCCGCGGCGAUUCCUUCGAGUGGUAUGCCGAAUGGCCCAACCUCAGGGACCCACUCCUUUCCCUCCUCAAACCCGCUCCUCUCCCGCUUUAGCUCCUCAUCCCAGGCUGCGGCAACUCCCGCCUCUCCAAGCACCUCUACGAUGUCGGCCACACCACCAUCACCAACAUUGACUUCUCCAAGAUCGUCAUCUCCGAUAUGCUCCGCCGCGACGUUCACGACUGUUCCCUCAUGUGAUGGCGCAUCAUGGACAUGACCACCAUGCAGUUCAAGGAUGAGAGCUUCGGUGCGUUUAUUGACAAAGGUGGACUGGAUGCUUUGAUGGAUCCCGAACUUGGCCCCAAAUUGGGGAACCUGUACUUAUCAGAGGUGAAGAGACUUUUAAAGCCUGCGGGCAAGUUUGUGUGCCUUACCUUGGCUAAAUCUCAUGUACUAAGUAAGUUUCCUUAAUUUUGUUUCACCAUGAAUAAUAAGUGAAAAACAUGUGAUACGUAGAGAAUACAAUUGAAAGCACUAAGAAGGUGUGAUGGUGUUUCAAUUGCAGACGUUUUGUUUUCCUUUACUCUUACUGAUAUGUGGUACCCACAUUUUAGACUUUCCUUUGCGUAUUAGCCAUAAGAAAAGAAUACUUGAAUGUGAAUGAUUCUUGGAAGAGGGUUUGCACAAAUCCCUUCCUAUCUCCUUGACAUCUUGCUAAAAAAGAAACAUGCUACCAAGAAGCUAUCCUGUGUUACCUUUAAAGUUAAUUGUAGUGCACUUGGAUGGGGCGCUUUGUUACUCUGGAUUGCAAUGAAAUGAUUUUCUAGAACUGUUUUUGCAUUUUAUCUUUUUCAUUUUUUGACAUGCUUGGUUUGGUAUCACUGGAGGAUAAAUAUCGCUAAUUCAUAAUUUCCAUAUCUACUUUUCUCAAAGUUCCGACUUGGGUGGAAAAUGAGUGUUGAUGCCAUACCUUUAAAGUCUUUUGGUAAACCUAGCCUUCAAACAUUUAUGGUAGUUGUGGAGAAUGAGCUAUCUAGUUUUGUCUUCCGGUGAACUUGUCCCAUUAAGGAAUACUUUUAAUGAUUAAUUGCUAGUUGAGGUUGUGUUUCUCUGAAUGAUGAGGCAUGAGCCAUGGAUUGGUGAAUGUUGUUUAGUGUUUAGGUCAUUUGCACUGGACUUUAUUGGUGACUCUAGUGAAAUUGAGAGAGGAGUUGAAUGAUUAUUGUUGUUUUUCUAAACUGGAAAUAAUCAGUGUCUUUGGAAUAGAUAGUUAUUAAGACUGAUUCUUUUUAUUUCGUUGAAACUUAAAGAUUAGUGGGAUGGAAUGAAAUGGAAUAAAAUUACCAUGUAUCUAGAGUCCUGAUAUAAUCCACUCUUACUCCUCGAGUACUCCAUGCACUAGCUUUGUAUGGUUGAUAUUUAUUAUACACAUCUUUAGAUUCAUUUGUUACAUUUGAUAACAUCUAUUUUAUAUUUAAAUCUUGGUUUUAUAUAGUCAGAACUUUGCUAACUUCCAAUAGCAAGGAAUAUUAGUAUAGAUUAAGAUUAAGAAUUCUGAGUAAUAACCUAACUAAUCUUUUUGAUAAUUGCGGUGAAAAUGUUGGGCUACUUGGUCUGACGCAUAUAGGGAGCCGAAGAGUAGUGCAAAUAUCAUGUGGUUUUAUGAUCUUCUUCUCUAUUUUUGGGAAAUUUGAAGCUUUUUUUGCAUCAAUUCCUCUACCGAUAUUUGCUGCCAUCUAUUGUUUUAUUUGGUAUUGUGGGUAGGUGUUGCUGCUAUUAUUACAUAGAUUACAAUAAUUUUGACCAAUAGAUGCAAGCCUUUUUAUUUUGUUGUUGAUUUUUUUGCAGCUGCUACUAGGAUUUCUUUUAUACAAUUUGCAAAUACCAAUUCCAUAAGAAAUAUAUAUGUUCUGGGCCUAACCUUGUUCCUUGUGAUAUCAAUACCACAAUAUUUUGUCAUGAACACCGCACCAGAUGGUCAUGGUCCAGUUAGAAUAUAUGACUGUGUCAUUUCCAUCAUCCUGUUUCGAGCGAUUGAGGAAAGGACUUACUAGUUUACUUCUCAUUUGGAUUAGUAGGAGCAAUGUUUGUGAGUUAAUAUUUAGCCAGAGAUGAUCAUAGUUGGGAAUCUAAGCAUUUAUUGAAUUUUGACAUGAACAUCAUAGGUUUAUACAAAUCUUCCUUCCACCAAAAUAGAUAGAAA
Long non-coding RNA from Glycine soja, 2330 nucleotides. RefSeq lists it as uncharacterized. NCBI's taxonomy places the organism in Eukaryota, Viridiplantae, Streptophyta, Magnoliopsida, Fabales, Fabaceae. The transcript is spliced from 3 exons. The record is from RefSeq and is a predicted model, not a curated record.